This 472-nucleotide ribosomal RNA is filed under the name uncultured bacterium. RNAcentral's name for it is "partial 16S ribosomal RNA". It matches the Rfam family "Bacterial small subunit ribosomal RNA", at positions 28 to 507 of the family's 1533-position model. The record is from RNAcentral.
GACGAACGCUGGCGGCGUGCUUAACACAUGCAAGUCGAACGCUGAAGCUUGGUGCUUGCACUGGGUGGAUGAGUGGCGAACGGGUGAGUAAUACGUGAGUAACCUGCCCUUGACUCUGGGAUAAGCCUGGGAAACUGGGUCUAAUACUGGAUACGACAUGUCACCGCAUGGUGGUGUGUGGAAAGGGUUUUACUGGUUUUGGAUGGGCUCACGGCCUAUCAGCUUGUUGGUGGGGUAAUGGCUCACCAAGGCGACGACGGGUAGCCGGCCUGAGAGGGUGACCGGCCACACUGGGACUGAGACACGGCCCAGACUCCUACGGGAGGCAGCAGUGGGGAAUAUUGCACAAUGGGCGGAAGCCUGAUGCAGCGACGCCGCGUGAGGGAUGACGGCCUUUGGGUUGUAAACCUCUUUCAGCACGGAAGAAGCGGAAGUGACGGUACGUGCAGAAGAAGCGCCGGCUAACUACGUG